RNAcentral lists this ribosomal RNA (2809 nucleotides) under Shigella flexneri. RNAcentral describes it as "partial 23S ribosomal RNA". It matches the Rfam family "Bacterial large subunit ribosomal RNA". Lineage: Bacteria; Pseudomonadati; Pseudomonadota; Gammaproteobacteria; Enterobacterales; Enterobacteriaceae. The record is from RNAcentral.
GGUUAAGCGACUAAGCGUACACGGUGGAUGCCCUGGCAGUCAGAGGCGAUGAAGGACGUGCUAAUCUGCGAUAAGCGUCGGUAAGGUGAUAUGAACCGUUAUAACCGGCGAUUUCCGAAUGGGGAAACCCAGUGUGAUUCGUCACACUAUCAUUAACUGAAUCCAUAGGUUAAUGAGGCGAACCGGGGGAACUGAAACAUCUAAGUACCCCGAGGAAAAGAAAUCAACCGAGAUUCCCCCAGUAGCGGCGAGCGAACGGGGAGCAGCCCAGAGCCUGAAUCAGUGUGUGUGUUAGUGGAAGCGUCUGGAAAGGCGUGCGAUACAGGGUGACAGCCCCGUACACAAAAAUGCACAUACUGUGAGCUCGAUGAGUAGGGCGGGACACGUGGUAUCCUGUCUGAAUAUGGGGGGACCAUCCUCCAAGGCUAAAUACUCCUGACUGACCGAUAGUGAACCAGUACCGUGAGGGAAAGGCGAAAAGAACCCCGGCGAGGGGAGUGAAAAAGAACCUGAAACCGUGUACGUACAAGCAGUGGGAGCACGCUUAGGCGUGUGACUGCGUACCUUUUGUAUAAUGGGUCAGCGACUUAUAUUCUGUAGCAAGGUUAACCGAAUAGGGGAGCCGAAGGGAAACCGAGUCUUAACUGGGCGUUAAGUUGCAGGGUAUAGACCCGAAACCCGGUGAUCUAGCCAUGGGCAGGUUGAAGGUUGGGUAACACUAACUGGAGGACCGAACCGACUAAUGUUGAAAAAUUAGCGGAUGACUUGUGGCUGGGGGUGAAAGGCCAAUCAAACCGGGAGAUAGCUGGUUCUCCCCGAAAGCUAUUUAGGUAGCGCCUCGUGAAUUCAUCUCCGGGGGUAGAGCACUGUUUCGGCAAGGGGGUCAUCCCGACUUACCAACCCGAUGCAAACUGCGAAUACCGGAGAAUGUUAUCACGGGAGACACACGGCGGGUGCUAACGUCCGUCGUGAAGAGGGAAACAACCCAGACCGCCAGCUAAGGUCCCAAAGUCAUGGUUAAGUGGGAAACGAUGUGGGAAGGCCCAGACAGCCAGGAUGUUGGCUUAGAAGCAGCCAUCAUUUAAAGAAAGCGUAAUAGCUCACUGGUCGAGUCGGCCUGCGCGGAAGAUGUAACGGGGCUAAACCAUGCACCGAAGCUGCGGCAGCGACGCUUAUGCGUUGUUGGGUAGGGGAGCGUUCUGUAAGCCUGUGAAGGUGUGCUGUGAGGUAUGCUGGAGGUAUCAGAAGUGCGAAUGCUGACAUAAGUAACGAUAAAGCGGGUGAAAAGCCCGCUCGCCGGAAGACCAAGGGUUCCUGUCCAACGUUAAUCGGGGCAGGGUGAGUCGACCCCUAAGGCGAGGCCGAAAGGCGUAGUCGAUGGGAAACAGGUUAAUAUUCCUGUACUUGGUGUUACUGCGAAGGGGGGACGGAGAAGGCUAUGUUGGCCGGGCGACGGUUGUCCCGGUUUAAGCGUGUAGGCUGGUUUUCCAGGCAAAUCCGGAAAAUCAAGGCCGAGGCGUGAUGACGAGGCACUACGGUGCUGAAGCAACAAAUGCCCUGCUUCCAGGAAAAGCCUCUAAGCAUCAGGUAACAUCAAAUCGUACCCCAAACCGACACAGGUGGUCAGGUAGAGAAUACCAAGGCGCUUGAGAGAACUCGGGUGAAGGAACUAGGCAAAAUGGUGCCGUAACUUCGGGAGAAGGCACGCUGAUACGUAGGUGAAGCGACUUGCUCGUGGAGCUGAAAUCAGUCGAAGAUACCAGCUGGCUGCAACUGUUUAUUAAAAACACAGCACUGUGCAAACACGAAAGUGGACGUAUACGGUGUGACGCCUGCCCGGUGCCGGAAGGUUAAUUGAUGGGGUUAGCGCAAGCGAAGCUCUUGAUCGAAGCCCCGGUAAACGGCGGCCGUAACUAUAACGGUCCUAAGGUAGCGAAAUUCCUUGUCGGGUAAGUUCCGACCUGCACGAAUGGCGUAAUGAUGGCCAGGCUGUCUCCACCCGAGACUCAGUGAAAUUGAACUCGCUGUGAAGAUGCAGUGUACCCGCGGCAAGACGGAAAGACCCCGUGAACCUUUACUAUAGCUUGACACUGAACAUUGAGCCUUGAUGUGUAGGAUAGGUGGGAGGCUUUGAAGUGUGGACGCCAGUCUGCAUGGAGCCGACCUUGAAAUACCACCCUUUAAUGUUUGAUGUUCUAACGUGGACCCGUGAUCCGGGUUGCGGACAGUGUCUGGUGGGUAGUUUGACUGGGGCGGUCUCCUCCUAAAGAGUAACGGAGGAGCACGAAGGUUGGCUAAUCCUGGUCGGACAUCAGGAGGUUAGUGCAAUGGCAUAAGCCAGCUUGACUGCGAGCGUGACGGCGCGAGCAGGUGCGAAAGCAGGUCAUAGUGAUCCGGUGGUUCUGAAUGGAAGGGCCAUCGCUCAACGGAUAAAAGGUACUCCGGGGAUAACAGGCUGAUACCGCCCAAGAGUUCAUAUCGACGGCGGUGUUUGGCACCUCGAUGUCGGCUCAUCACAUCCUGGGGCUGAAGUAGGUCCCAAGGGUAUGGCUGUUCGCCAUUUAAAGUGGUACGCGAGCUGGGUUUAGAACGUCGUGAGACAGUUCGGUCCCUAUCUGCCGUGGGCGCUGGAGAACUGAGGGGGGCUGCUCCUAGUACGAGAGGACCGGAGUGGACGCAUCACUGGUGUUCGGGUUGUCAUGCCAAUGGCACUGCCCGGUAGCUAAAUGCGGAAGAGAUAAGUGCUGAAAGCAUCUAAGCACGAAACUUGCCCCGAGAUGAGUUCUCCCUGACCCUUUAAGGGUCCUGA